UUAAAGAGCGGGUCAAUUGAGCCUCGGAGUCCUUCUCCACCCACGUAUCAAUUUUAAAAAAUGCAACAUUAGUAGGCGUUGCCUGGAGGACCGAGAGGGCGGAGCCGCGGCAGUGACGAAGACGAUGGCUAACUAGACGAAGCUAGCUCCCUUCACUCUGAGCAGUUGAUAGAAGUGGAGGACGUUUCUCCCCCUCCUUACAGACACUCGAGAAGAAAGGGACCAAGUCUAUUUGGAGGAGACAAGCGGACCUGAGUCUUAUUGUUUUGAGCUUGUGAGUUGCCUGAAACUCCCAGAACCGACCCAACAGAAUCACCUCUGAAAGGUCCUCUGGUGUCUGCAGCUGGUCUCCUCUGCUGGUGUCCUCAGGAUCAGGAACUUCCAGAAGAAUGUGCCUUUCAAUGACUCUUUCCCCCUUAUUUGUUAUAUUAAUUAAAUAAAUCUCAAUUUAUAUA
Molecule: non-coding RNA, 455 nt
Organism: Nothobranchius furzeri (turquoise killifish)
Lineage: Eukaryota; Metazoa; Chordata; Actinopteri; Cyprinodontiformes; Nothobranchiidae
Source: RefSeq, a predicted model, not a curated record